GUCAACUACAAAGGCGAGAAGCCGAUGAGCUUCGCGCUCUUCGCCAUCGCUUAGCAGGCUAUUGCUGCCAAAGACGCUCUUCAGGUUCGUGCUUUCAUGGAUUGAUUGUUUGAGGUGUUGAUGAUGUAGAAGGUUUUGAGUUUUGAUUGGAUUUUUGGAUGGUGCAGAGUAUGGUUUUCGAUACGGAAUCGAAGGCAGUGUUGCAUAUGGAGAUGGCGAAGAAGAAUCUGUUUGUGAAAAGAGGUGAGAAUGCUACUGAGUUUUUGGUCUGGGUUCAAAAGCGUUAAGAAAAGGGGCGGUAAUGGGGAGAGAGAGAGAGUUCGAGCUCAUGAGGGUAAAAGGAUUAAGUUUUUGAUCUUUAGGUUUAUGCUUUGGGGAUGUAAUGGAGGCUGUAAUUGAGGGAAAACCGUAACAAGGCUAUUUUAGUCAUUUCGGCCACAAUUAGGGUUUUAGCUGAAAUGUGGGCCAACCUUAUCUGCUCCACAUCAGUGCAUGACGUCAUGUUUAAUGCGAGAUUCAAAUUUUGGUCGAGAUUGAUGUCAUUUUGAAAGUUUAGGGAUAAAACUGAUUAAAAAAAAAGAUGAGGUAUCAGACUGAUUUUAGACUUAAAAUUCAAGGGAGUAAACUGAAUUUUUUCCUUUUUUUAAUAUAUAUGUUGCUAAUCAAUUUUUUUUAAUAUAUACCUCUAUAUAUAUGGCUAAUCAAAGUAGGAGAGAAGUUUUCCCCAAUCCCAAUUUAGACAAAUUUACUGGUCACCCAUGUCUUCCUAAUCCUAAUUUAUUGAUUUGCAAUGUACUCUUCUAUCAUAUAUUUGUCAUUUAUCAUUUUCUCUAAAUCGUUUUUUGUUCUUCUCAAAAAAGAUUCGGGACUUCGAACACCAAAUUUGGAAUACCAUCAUAUAUAAUGUUUAAGAAUUAUUAUUGCUUUAACUAGGGAGACUUGUU
Molecule: long non-coding RNA, 944 nt
Filed under: Fragaria vesca (wild strawberry)
Lineage: Eukaryota; Viridiplantae; Streptophyta; Magnoliopsida; Rosales; Rosaceae
Description: long non-coding RNA (FVES_LNC000746)
Source: RNAcentral